GCGAAGUUCGGGGCAGGGGAGGCGGUAAUACGAAGGUGUCAAACGUGGCGAGGAAUCAUGGGGCGACAAGCGCAAGUAGGCGGGUUUGCAAGUCGGACGGGAAAUCCCUCAGGUCAACUGAGGACGUGCAUCCGAAACUGCAAGGCUUGAGUGCUGAAGAGGAUCGCGGAAUUCCCGGUGUAGAGGUGAAAUUCGUAGAUAUCGGGAGGAACACCAGUGGCGAAGGCGGCGAUCUGGGCAGACACUGACGCUGAGGUGCGAAAGCGUGGGGAGCAAACAGGAUUAGAUACCCGGGUAGUC
RNAcentral lists this ribosomal RNA (300 nucleotides) under uncultured bacterium. RNAcentral describes it as "bacterial SSU rRNA". It matches the Rfam family "Bacterial small subunit ribosomal RNA", at positions 496 to 795 of the family's 1533-position model. The record is from RNAcentral.